AAGGUAGUUCAGGAGUGGAGAUAGAAGAGAAGAAAAAGCUUACUUCGCGUUCCCCGUAAGAGACCGAGCAACAGAGCUGCAAGCCGCGAAGUCUAUGCUAUCUUUGCAAACUUCAUUUGAAUAGCUGGCCCAAAUUCCACAAAAUGAAAAGAGGCUGAUUUCUGAGUGAAAGAUUUGAAGACGCUUGGAUAACCAGUG
Molecule: long non-coding RNA, 198 nt
Filed under: Cavia porcellus (domestic guinea pig)
Lineage: Eukaryota; Metazoa; Chordata; Mammalia; Rodentia; Caviidae
Description: lncRNA (ENSCPOG00000032863.1)
Source: RNAcentral